GGUCAUAGUGAUCCGGUGGUUCUGAAUGGAAGGGCCAUCGCUCAACGGAUAAAAGGUACUCCGGGGAUAACAGGCUGAUACCGCCCAAGAGUUCAUAUCGACGGCGGUGUUUGGCACCUCGAUGUCGGCUCAUCACAUCCUGGGGCUGAAGUAGGUCCCAAGGGUAUGGCUGUUCGCCAUUUAAAGUGGUACGCGAGCUGGGUUUAGAACGUCGUGAGACAGUUCGGUCCCUAUCUGCCGUGGGCGCUGGAGAACUGAGGGGGGCUGCUCCUAGUACGAGAGGACCGGAGUGGACGCAUCACUGGUGUUCGGGUUGUCAUGCCAAUGGCACUGCCCGGUAGCUAAAUGCGGAAGAGAUAAGUGCUGAAAGCAUCUAAGCACGAAACUUGCCCCGAGAUGAGUUCUCCCUGACUCCUUGAGAGUCCUGAAGGAACGUUGAAGACGACGACGUUGAUAGGCCGGGUGUGUAAGCGCAGCGAUGCGUUGAGCUAACCGGUACUAAUGAACCGUGAGGCUUAACCUUACAAC
This 528-nucleotide ribosomal RNA is filed under the name Escherichia coli. Its description in RNAcentral is "partial 23S ribosomal RNA". It matches the Rfam family "Bacterial large subunit ribosomal RNA", at positions 2408 to 2925 of the family's 2925-position model. The record is from RNAcentral. Lineage: Bacteria; Pseudomonadati; Pseudomonadota; Gammaproteobacteria; Enterobacterales; Enterobacteriaceae.